GCAUAUCAAUAAGCGGAGGAAAAGAAACUAACAAGGAUUCCCCUAGUAGCGGCGAGCGAAGCGGGAAGAGCUCAAAUUUAUAAUCUGGCACCUUCGGUGUCCGAGUUGUAAUCUCUAGAAAUGUUUUCCGCGUUGGACCGCACACAAGUCUGUUGGAAUACAGCGGCAUAGUGGUGAGACCCCCGUAUAUGGUGCGGACGCCCAGCGCUUUGUGAUACAUUUUCGAAGAGUCGAGUUGUUUGGGAAUGCAGCUCAAAUUGGGUGGUAAAUUCCAUCUAAAGCUAAAUAUUGGCGAGAGACCGAUAGCGAACAAGUACCGUGAGGGAAAGAUGAAAAGCACUUUGGAAAGAGAGUUAACAGUACGUGAAAUUGUUGGAAGGGAAACGCUUGAAGUCAGACUUGCUUGCCGAGCAAUCGGUUUGCAGGCCAGCAUCAGUUUUCCGGGAUGGAUAAUGGUAGAGAGAAGGUAGCAGUUUCGGCUGUGUUAUAGCUCUCUGCUGGAUACAUCUUGGGGGACUGAGGAACGCAGUGUGCCUUUGGCGGGGGUUUCGACCUCUUCACACUUAGGAUGCUGGUGGAAUGGCUUUAAACGACCCGUCUUGAAACACGGACCA
Molecule: ribosomal RNA, 614 nt
Filed under: Rhodotorula mucilaginosa
Lineage: Eukaryota; Fungi; Basidiomycota; Microbotryomycetes; Sporidiobolales; Sporidiobolaceae
Description: partial large subunit ribosomal RNA
Rfam family: Eukaryotic large subunit ribosomal RNA
Source: RNAcentral